This 68-nucleotide small nuclear RNA is filed under the name Calidris pugnax (ruff). Its description in RNAcentral is "U5 spliceosomal RNA (ENSCPUG00000004161.1)". It matches the Rfam family "U5 spliceosomal RNA", at positions 7 to 74 of the family's 117-position model. Rfam says of the family: U5 RNA is a component of both types of known spliceosome. The precise function of this molecule is unknown, though it is known that the 5' loop is required for splice site selection and p220 binding, and that both the 3' stem-loop and the Sm site are important for Sm protein binding and cap methylation. Lineage: Eukaryota; Metazoa; Chordata; Aves; Charadriiformes; Scolopacidae. The record is from RNAcentral.
UGGUUUCUCUUCAGGUCAUAUAAAUCUUUUGCCUUUUACUAAAGAUUUCCGUGGAGAGGAACACCACA